UACAGAGGGUGCAAGCGUUAAUCGGAAUUACUGGGCGUAAAGCGUGCGCAGACGGUUGCGUAAGUCAGAUGUGAAAUCCCCGGGCUUAACCUGGGAACUGCAUUUGUGACUGCAUGGCUAGAGUGCGGCAGAGGGGGAUGGAAUUCCGCGUGUAGCAGUGAAAUGCGUAGAUAUGCGGAGGAACACCGAUGGCGAAGGCAAUCCCCUGGGCCUGCACUGACGCUCAUGCACGAAAGCGUGGGGAGCAAACAGG
RNAcentral lists this ribosomal RNA (253 nucleotides) under uncultured bacterium. Its description in RNAcentral is "partial 16S ribosomal RNA". It matches the Rfam family "Bacterial small subunit ribosomal RNA", at positions 524 to 776 of the family's 1533-position model. The record is from RNAcentral.